Molecule: ribosomal RNA, 253 nt
Filed under: uncultured bacterium
Lineage: Bacteria
Description: partial 16S ribosomal RNA
Rfam family: Bacterial small subunit ribosomal RNA
Source: RNAcentral
CACGGGGGGAGCAAGCGUUGUUCGGAAUCACUGGGCGUAAAGGGCGUGUAGGCGGUCAAGUAAGUGGAAUGUGAAAGCCCCCGGCUUACCCGGGGAUCUGCAUCCCAAACUGCUUGGCUUGAGUACGGGAGAGGAUGGAGGAAUUCCUGGUGUAGCGGUGAAAUGCGUAGAUAUCAGGAGGAACACCGGUGGCGAAGGCGUCCAUCUGGCCCGAUACUGACGCUGAGGCGCGAAAGCCAGGGGAGCAAACGGG